GAUUAGAUACCCUGGUAGUCCACGCCGUAAACGAUGUCUACUUGGAGGUUGUGCCCUUGAGGCGUGGCUUCCGGAGCUAACGCGUUAAGUAGACCGCCUGGGGAGUACGGCCGCAAGGUUAAAACUCAAAUGAAUUGACGGGGGCCCGCACAAGCGGUGGAGCAUGUGGUUUAAUUCGAUGCAACGCGAAGAACCUUACCUGGUCUUGACAUCCACAGAACUUUCCAGAGAUGGAUUGGUGCCUUCGGGAACUGUGAGACAGGUGCUGCAUGGCUGUCGUCAGCUCGUGUUGUGAAAUGUUGGGUUAAGUCCCGCAACGAGCGCAACCCUUAUCCUUUGUUGCCAGCGAUUAGGUCGGGAACUCAAAGGAGACUGCCAGUGAUAAACUGGAGGAAGGUGGGGAUGACGUCAAGUCAUCAUGGCCCUUACGACCAGGGCUACACACGUGCUACAAUGGCGCAUACAAAGAGAAGCGACCUCGCGAGAGCAAGCGGACCUCAUAAAGUGCGUCGUAGUCCGGAUUGGAGUCUGCAACUCGACUCCAUGAAGUCGGAAUCGCUAGUAAUCGUGGAUCAGAAUGCCACGGUGAAUACGUUCCCGGGCCUUGUACACACCGCCCGUCACACCAUGGGAGUGGGUUGCAAAAGAAGUAGGUAGCUUAACCUUCGGGAGGGCGCUUACCACUUUGUGAUUCAUGACUGGGGUGAAGUCGUAACAAGGUAACCGUAGGGGAACCUGCGGUUGGAUCACCUCCUUA
Molecule: ribosomal RNA, 757 nt
Filed under: Salmonella enterica
Lineage: Bacteria; Pseudomonadati; Pseudomonadota; Gammaproteobacteria; Enterobacterales; Enterobacteriaceae
Description: bacterial SSU rRNA
Rfam family: Bacterial small subunit ribosomal RNA
Source: RNAcentral